RNAcentral lists this long non-coding RNA (633 nucleotides) under Panax ginseng (ginseng). RNAcentral's name for it is "long non-coding RNA (PGIN_LNC005020)". Lineage: Eukaryota; Viridiplantae; Streptophyta; Magnoliopsida; Apiales; Araliaceae. The record is from RNAcentral.
AAAGAGAACCCAACUCAGUUUCACUCUAAAGAACUAUUGAUAGAGAGUGAGAAAAAGAGAAAGAAAGAACUAAAGCUCAUAUAGAAAAGAAGAAGAAGAAAAGAUCAGAAGAGAGAUGAAAAGAGCUAGAGGUUGUUAAAUUGUUAUUAUUGCAUUUCACUUUCUCAAUCUUUCUCACUCUUCUGCUAUCACUGCAUAAGAAACUCAUCAGUCCCUCUCUCAAACAAACUUUUUUCAUCAGAAAAGCCAAAAUGACAGCAGUGGUAUUAGUAGUAUGAGUAUCAGACCUCAGAAGAUGCAGGAACAGGAGCAACAGCAGUCUGAGUAUCCGUAAGAGUAAUUAGAGAGAGAGGGACAUAUGUAAAUUUAUAACAAAGUCAAGAUCUCUGAAUUUCUCUCUCUUGAAUUUUCUCACUCUAGAAAUUAUCUUUCUUUCAAAAGAAUUUCAGUUUCCGAGACCCCACUUCCAUAAUAACACCUACAUCUCUAUAUUUCCAAAAGAUUUUUGAAAUUGUUCAGGAAUUUAUUGGAUUUGGAAUUAGUUAGCAGAAGAAUUUGCAGUUGUGGCUACUAGCAGGAGACUGCCUUCUGAUACUGGUGCUUUUGCAGACUGGGUGGCAUCCUCUGCUGCUG